GAUGAGAGCGGCGUACGGGUGCGGAACAUGUGUGCAAUCUGCCCUUAUCAAGGGGAUAGCCCAGAGAAAUCUGGAUUAAUACCCUAUAACAUAUGGGAUGGCAUCAUUUCACAUUAAAAGCUACGGCGGAUAAGGAUGAGCACGCACAAGAUUAGCUAGUUGGUAAGGUAACGGCUUACCAAGGCGACGAUCUUUAGGGGGCCUGAGAGGGUGAUCCCCCACACUGGGACUGAGACACGGCCCAGACUCC
RNAcentral lists this ribosomal RNA (250 nucleotides) under uncultured Flavobacteriaceae bacterium. RNAcentral's name for it is "partial 16S ribosomal RNA". It matches the Rfam family "Bacterial small subunit ribosomal RNA", at positions 88 to 339 of the family's 1533-position model. The record is from RNAcentral. Lineage: Bacteria; Pseudomonadati; Bacteroidota; Flavobacteriia; Flavobacteriales; Flavobacteriaceae.